GUAGUAUGUCUGAUUAAAGUAGUAAAUUGUAAAUUUAUUUAAGAAUGUUUAUUCUGCUAUCA
Molecule: transfer RNA, 62 nt
Filed under: Tanystylum sp. JZ-2022
Lineage: Eukaryota; Metazoa; Arthropoda; Pycnogonida; Pantopoda; Tanystylidae
Description: tRNA-Tyr
Source: RNAcentral